GGUUUUGAAGAGUAAGGGCAUCCACAAACCAUGAGGACCUUCCCCUCUCUCGUCGUCUCCCUCCCUCGUUGACUCAUUCCCCUGAAAACUUACUGCCGUACCCUCUGUAGGUUCCACUCGUCUUCCUUCAUGUCUCGUCUCACUUGAGAGUAGAGACGUUAAUGUGUAUGGGAUCUUGAGAUUGAAGCACAAGUGACGGAAGAGGUAAACCGUAAAACCAACAUUAUUCAUUACCGAUGAUGUCCGGAGGAAAGUGAGUUACACAGCUUAUUGGGAUACACCAACAUAUAUCACGAAAGAAGAGAUAAGAUAAACAAAAUCGUGGGAAGAGUGAAGGGGCAUAAGCCAUAACUCAGAAUGGUUGUUCUCUCAGAACUUUCAGUUUCAGAAGGAUCUUCAUCCUCUUCAUCAACUCAAACUCAUAGAUAUGACAUAUUUUUAAGCUUUAGAGGUGUUGACACUCGUCAUAGUUUCACUAAUCACCUUUACAACGCCCUCAUGCAUGCCAAUAUCACUACCUUUUUGGACGAUGAAGAGAUUGAAACCGGGGAAGAUCUAAAACCAGAAUUGGAGAGUGCCAUUAAAGCAUCUAGGGCUUCUAUUAUCGUGUUGUCCAAAAAUUAUGCUACUUCGACGUGGUGUCUUGAUGAACUGGUGUUGAUCCUUGAGCAACGUAUGACAUCCAAUCAUAUUGUCAUCCCCAUCUUUUAUCAUGUUGAGCCCACCCAUGUCAGGAAGCAAGAAGGUAGCUUUGGAGAUGCAAUGGCUAAGCAUAGACAGAAGAUGGAGGCAGAGUCAAAUUUAAAUAAAAGAAGUCAAUGGGCUGAAAAGAUAGAGCUUUGGAAUAAAGCGAUUAGAGAAGUUGCUGAUUUAAAAGGGAAGGAUGCAAACGGCAGGCUUGAGGUGGAGUUUAUUAAUGAAAUUGUCAAGGACAUCUUCCGUAGAUUACACAUAUCAUCAAGGUUUCCAUUACCACAACUUAUUGGGAUGGAAGUUUCCAUUUCAUUCCUCACUUCAUGGUUGAAGGAUGCAUCGUCGCCUACCACAGAUAUAGUUACUAUUUUAGGUAUUGGUGGGAUCGGGAAGACGUCUUUAGCCAAAUAUGUCUACGCACUACAUUCUCAUGAAUUUGACACAAGCAGCUGCAUUAUAGACAUAAGUAGGCGAUGUGAUAAAAAGUAUAAUGGAAUGAUUGAUGUACAAAAACAACUCUAUGCUGACAUUUCCAAACCAAGUUCGAUAGUUCAAGUUCAUGAUGUUUCUAUAUACACCUCAAUGAUAGAGAAAGUACUAGCCAAUAAAAAAGUGUUUCUAGUUCUUGAUGAUAUUGGUAGUCUUGACCAGUUGGAUGCGUUAGUUGGAAGCAAAGGUUUUCGGCCAGGAAGCAAAAUUCUAAUAACAACAAAGGAUGCAUGGUUGACACAGAGUUGUUCACUAUUCAAAAUGAAAAUUAAACCCAGAUAUGCAGAACACAAGCUUGAAGGCUUAUCUACUACUGAAUCACAAAAACUUUUGUGUUUUCAUGCAUUCAUGUGUAAUAAUCCCAAGCCAGGUUAUGAAGAGGUGUCUGAAAAUCUUGUGAACUAUUGUGAAGGACAUCCAAUGGCUCUUGAAAUUUUGGGUAGGUCUCUACAUAAUCGAGAAGUAACUUAUUGGGAGGGUUACAUAGACAAACUAAAGAAAGAAAAUGAUUCCCCUAUAAAUAAUGUGUUGAGAAUGAGCAUUGAUUCUUUGGCAUCAGAGAGUGAUAAGAACUUAUUUAAGUAUAUUGCUUGUAUCUUUAUUGGAAUGGAUAGAGAUGUUACUAGAACAAUAUUAGAGGCAUGCGAUAUAGAAACAAAAACUGGGAUCACGAAUCUCAUCGACAAAUGCCUUCUUAGUGUUGGAGAUACUAAUGAAUUGAUGAUGCAUCAAUUGGUUCAAGAGAUGGGAAGAUUUUUGGUACGUGAAGAAUCACUUUACAAGCCAUGGGAACGAAGUCGAUUAUGGGGUCAUGAGUCAUUUAGAGUAUUGAAACAAGAAAAGGGUACGGAAAAUGUUCUAGGACUCACUCUUGAUAUGAGAAUGCUUGAGAAAGAGAAGUUACAUGGAUCACUUGAGUUGAAAACAGAUGCAUUGAGUAAGAUGGAUAGGCUAAUGUUGCUACAACUCAAUUAUGUGCAAAUCAGCGGCUCUUACAAAAAAUUUCCAGAAGAAUUAAGAUGGUUGUGUAUGCAUGGAUUCCCUUUGAAAUAUAUACCUUCUGACUUAUCGAUGGAGAAUUUGGUUGCUCUUGACAUGUCAUAUAGCAAUAUUGAAUCAUUGGAGAUUUGCUAUAGCUAUCCACAACGACUUCAUAAGAGGCUAAAGCAAAUGAUUGGAUCGUGCUCAAAAGACAAAAGAUUGCUUGGUUCGUUGAAGAUUCUUAAUUUAAGUUUUUGUGAACAGAUUCGUAGUCUUCGUGGCUUUGACCACCUCCCUAAACUUGAGAGGUUAAUACUCAAAGGGUGUAUUGGUUUGCUGGAGGUUUGUGAAUCAAUUCAGCAAUGCCUUGAACUUGCCCUCAUUGAUCUAAGCUAUUGCAAGAAGCUGAAAAAACUUCCAAAAAGCUUAGGCAAAUUAAAGAAAGUUAAAACACUAUUGUUAAACGGUUGUCAUCUUGGUGAAUCUCAAAUCAGGAUUAGGGAUAUGGAUUCCUCAGAAAUGCUCAAGGCAAACAAUAUUAGCAUAAACACUAUAACCUCUUCCUCCACUGUUGUGGAGGUUAUGCCAAGUUAUUCAAAGUUCUCUGUGAUUUCUUUACCAAGAUCUUUAGUGAGCUUAUCACUUGAGAAUAAUAAUUUGUCCUCUGAAUCCUUUCCUAUGGACUUCAGUUGCUUGCCUAUGUUAAAGGAAUUAACUCUAGAUAAAAAUCCUAUUGUUUCCCUGCCUAGUUGUGUGAGAACCCUUCCUAGGCUUGAGAUACUUAGUAUGAGCGAUUGUAAAAUGCUGACAACAUUUGAGCAUCCACCACAUACACUCACACAUUUGAACCUUUAUUCUAAUAAGUGUUUUUUACGAAAAGUUGUAUUUGAUCCACAAAUGUCCCCACUCAAGUUAGCACUAGGACGGAGGAUCUUGGUACAUUCAUCAUCUGAAUUUGAAGGCGUGAUCAAAAUCCAACCAAUGGCAGGUGUUGAGGAAAAAGUAUUACAUCGUCUGGGCUGGACUAAGCUAGAUUUCCUGAACGGAAGGCACGUGACAACUUCUUCUACUUAUGGGGAAUCAGAGGAAUCUGAAAUCCAGAUGUAUUAUGAAUUUGGAAUAUUCAGCACAAUUUAUGGAGGCGAAGAAAUGCCGAAUUGGAUUAUAGAUAGAAGCAUGGGGCCAUCUAUAUCAUUUACCAUCUCAUCAUCUACUAACAAGCUCACUGGAUUAAAUUUCUGUUGUGUGUUGGCAUCUCCAUUUCCCGAUGAGGGGCUUGGAUUAGUAGAUGAUGUCCUCCUAGAUUUGCCGGUGAUCAAAAUUAAUAAUAUAACAAAGAACCUCACCUGGAUAUACGACCAUUACAUUGACAGUGUACUUGAUGUCGGUGGAAAGUGCUUGACAUUGUUAAGUCAUUGGAUGUUUGGGAUGAAUGAGAUGGAAUGUGGUGACCACGUUACUAUUAGGGUGAUGUGGGAACCAGAUGAUAUUGGUGAUGCAGUUAUCAAGGAGUGUGGGGUUGGUUUUGUAUAUGAUGAUGGCAACAUGGAUGAGAAACAAGAUGUGUUGGGUUAUUACAAGUCAUGGAAUCACAUUAUUGGUCGAGAUCUCACCGGAUUUCAAACAACAACAGGAGAAUACAUCCUAAACAAAGAUCGAAUUUUGUGGCCUGGCCUUGAUAUAGUUCGACUAAACUAUUAUUAUCUAUGUGGAGAAGGCGCCCACUUUAUAGAUAACGAAUUUUACUUCAAAGCCUUGUCCUAAAGGAAGACUGGUGAACUUGAGGAUGGCCGCUGAGUCUUCUUUCAGGUUUAUUUAUGUUUUCUAAUGGCAAUGAAGGUGCUUUUGGUUUUGGUGUUGUCUUGUCCCAGAGAGUUGGAUCUACAAAACAUGCAUGUUCAAAAUUUUUACAAUGCUAGAGGCAGUGGCGGUGUUGUUGGAUUUCAGGUCAACAUUGAAUAAUAAAGACUUCAAAAGUUAAAUGUGGACAAUAUUUGUUGGAUUUAAUUUUGGAUGGAGGUAGUACAAUAUUUGUUCAUAGGCAUAUGGAAUAAAACCUGCAAACAUUGAUUGUCUUAUUCGUAGCCAAGGCUCUUAACAGCAGUUCACUAAAAGUGUAAAGGAGGAAAUAUACAUGACUGUAUUUUAAUUUCAAAAUUCUCUACAAGACUAUAUCGUUCACUUU
RNA transcript from Lactuca sativa (garden lettuce), 4348 nucleotides. It is a transcript of the gene named disease resistance protein RPV1, with no coding region annotated. The record is from RefSeq and is a predicted model, not a curated record. NCBI's taxonomy places the organism in Eukaryota, Viridiplantae, Streptophyta, Magnoliopsida, Asterales, Asteraceae.